This 434-nucleotide ribosomal RNA is filed under the name uncultured bacterium. RNAcentral's name for it is "bacterial SSU rRNA". It matches the Rfam family "Bacterial small subunit ribosomal RNA", at positions 29 to 508 of the family's 1533-position model. The record is from RNAcentral.
AACGAACGCUGGCGGCAUGCCUAACACAUGCAAGUCGAACGAGACCUUCGGGUCUAGUGGCGCACGGGUGCGUAACGCGUGGGAAUCUGCCCUUGGGUUCGGGAUAACAGUUGGAAACGACUGCUAAUACCGGAUGAUGACUUCGGUCCAAAGAUUUAUCGCCCAGGGAUGAGCCCGCGUCGGAUUAGCUUGUUGGUGAGGUAAAGGCUCACCAAGGCGACGAUCCGUAGCUGGUCUGAGAGGAUGAUCAGCCACACUGGGACUGAGACACGGCCCAGACUCCUACGGGAGGCAGCAGUGGGGAAUAUUGGACAAUGGGCGCAAGCCUGAUCCAGCAAUGCCGCGUGAGUGAUGAAGGCCUUAGGGUUGUAAAGCUCUUUUACCCGGGAAGAUAAUGACUGUACCGGGAGAAUAAGCCCCGGCUAACUCCGUGC